RNAcentral lists this ribosomal RNA (491 nucleotides) under uncultured bacterium. RNAcentral describes it as "partial 16S ribosomal RNA". It matches the Rfam family "Bacterial small subunit ribosomal RNA", at positions 29 to 506 of the family's 1533-position model. The record is from RNAcentral.
AGUGAACGCUGGCGGUAGGCCUAACACAUGCAAGUCGAACGGCAGCACAGUAAGAGCUUGCUCUUACGGGUGGCGAGUGGCGGACGGGUGAGGAAUACAUCGGAAUCUACUUUUUCGUGGGGGAUAACGUAGGGAAACUUACGCUAAUACCGCAUACGACCUACGGGUGAAAGCAGGGGAUCUUCGGACCUUGCGCGAUUGAAUGAGCCGAUGUCAGAUUAGCUAGUUGGCGGGGUAAAGGCCCACCAAGGCGACGAUCCGUAGCUGGUCUGAGAGGAUGAUCAGCCACACUGGAACUGAGACACGGUCCAGACUCCUACGGGAGGCAGCAGUGGGGAAUAUUGGACAAUGGGCGCAAGCCUGAUCCAGCCAUACCGCGUGGGUGAAGAAGGCCUUCGGGUUGUAAAGCCCUUUUGUUGGGAAAGAAAAGCAGCAGGUUAAUACCCCGCUGUUCGGACGGUACCCAAAGAAUAAGCACCGGCUAACUUCGU